GAGCCCUGAGGGGCCGCCCGCGCUGAGGGAGGAGUGCCUUGGGGCCGCACCGCAACAUCGACGCUCGUGUGGUCGUGGUGACUGCUGAAAAUUAGGAAUGCUUGGACAAGAUCAGUCUGAAGAGCAGCGUGGUGCAAAGUGCAGGUGUGGAGCUGUGCAGAACAGCAUGUCAGCACACAAGUGCAGCCUAAUUUCACUUCUGUUGAUGGAUUAGACCAGAGCUGCUUGGUCUGAAGUCCAGAUUCACGUUUCCAAUCCUUACAGCCCCACCCACGUUUGGUC
Long non-coding RNA from Neopelma chrysocephalum (saffron-crested tyrant-manakin), 282 nucleotides. RefSeq lists it as uncharacterized. NCBI's taxonomy places the organism in Eukaryota, Metazoa, Chordata, Aves, Passeriformes, Pipridae. The transcript is spliced from 3 exons. The record is from RefSeq and is a predicted model, not a curated record.